Molecule: ribosomal RNA, 1460 nt
Filed under: uncultured organism
Description: SSU rRNA
Rfam family: Bacterial small subunit ribosomal RNA
Source: RNAcentral
GAUGAACGCUUGCUACAGGCUUAACACAUGCAAGUCGAGGGGCAGCAUGGUCUUAGCUUGCUAAGGCCGAUGGCGACCGGCGCACGGGUGAGUAACGCGUAUCCAACCUGCCUUACACUCUUGGACAGCCUUCUGAAAGGGAGAUUAAUACAAGAUGUUAUCAUGAGUAAGCAUUUUCGCAUGAUUAAAGGUUUACCGGUGUAAGAUGGGGAUGCGUUCCAUUAGAUAGUAGGCGGGGUAACGGCCCACCUAGUCUUCGAUGGAUAGGGGUUCUGAGAGGAAGGUCCCCCACAUUGGAACUGAGACACGGUCCAAACUCCUACGGGAGGCAGCAGUGAGGAAUAUUGGUCAAUGGACGAGAGUCUGAACCAGCCAAGUAGCGUGAAGGAUGAAGGUUCUAUGGAUUGUAAACUUCUUUUAUACGGGAAUAAACGGAUCCACGUGUGGAUUUUUGCAUGUACCGUAUGAAUAAGGAUCGGCUAACUCCGUGCCAGCAGCCGCGGUAAUACGGAGGAUCCGAGCGUUAUCCGGAUUUAUUGGGUUUAAAGGGAGCGUAGAUGGGUUGUUAAGUCAGUUGUGAAAGUUUGCGGCUCAACCGUAAAAUUGCAAUUGAUACUGGCAGUCUUGAGUACAGUUGAGGUAGGCGGAAUUCGUGGUGUAGCGGUGAAAUGCUUAGAUAUCACGAAGAACUCCGAUUGCGAAGGCAGCUUACUAACCUGUAACUGACAUUGGUGCUCGAAAGUGUGGGUAUCAAACAGGAUUAGAUACCCUGGUAGUCCACACGGUAAACGAUGAAUACUCGCUGUAGGCGAUAUACAGUCUGCGGCCAAGCGAAAGCAUUAAGUAUUCCACCUGGGGAGUACGCCGGCAACGGUGAAACUCAAAGGAAUUGACGGGGGCCCGCACAAGCGGAGGAACAUGUGGUUUAAUUCGAUGAUACGCGAGGAACCUUACCCGGGCUUAAAUUGCAACCGAAUACGGCGGAAACGCUAUAGCUAGCAAUAGCGGUUGUGAAGGUGCUGCAUGGUUGUCGUCAGCUCGUGCCGUGAGGUGUCGGCUUAAGUGCCAUAACGAGCGCAACCCUUGCCGAUAGUUACUAACAGGUCAUGCUGAGGACUCUGUCGGGACUGCCAUCGUAAGAUGUGAGGAAGGUGGGGAUGACGUCAAAUCAGCACGGCCCUUACGUCCGGGGCUACACACGUGUUACAAUGGGGGGUACAGAGGGCUGCUACCACGCAAGUGGAUGCCAAUCCCAAAAACCUCUCUCAGUUCGGAUUGAAGUCUGCAACCCGACUUCAUGAAGCUGGAUUCGCUAGUAAUCGCGCAUCAGCCACGGCGCGGUGAAUACGUUCCCGGGCCUUGUACACACCGCCCGUCAAGCCAUGGGAGCCGGGGGUACCUGAAGUGCGUAACCGCAAGGAGCGCCCUAGGGUAAAACUGGUGACUGGGGCUAAGUCGUA